RNAcentral lists this non-coding RNA (105 nucleotides) under Variovorax sp. RNAcentral's name for it is "Glycine sequence". The stretch from base 1 to 91 matches the Rfam family "Glycine riboswitch aptamer". From Rfam's summary of the family: This family represents the bacterial glycine riboswitch. Glycine riboswitches usually consist of two metabolite-binding aptamers domains with similar structures in tandem. Lineage: Bacteria; Pseudomonadati; Pseudomonadota; Betaproteobacteria; Burkholderiales; Comamonadaceae. The record is from RNAcentral.
CUCGGCACUGCAGGAGAGCGGGCCGUCGUCAAGACGGCCCCACCGAAGGCGCAAACUCCCAUAAACGCUCAGGUCGGCUCGCAAUGAUGAGCCUGUACUGCACCA